CCAUAUGGGACCACCAGUGCAUACAAAAUUCCAAUAAAGGUAAACUGGGCUUAUUCUAUAAUGUUGUACAACGUACUCCCUUAUCAUAAAACAAAUUUGAAUCUGGAAGACAUUUAAUCUGAGUAUUAAAAGUUGGCUUUGAAAAAAAAAAAGUUGGCUUUGGAGAUGCCUGGGUGGCUCAGUAGGUUAAGCCUCUCACUCUUGAUUUUGGCUCAGAUCAUGAUCUCAGGGUUGUGUGAUAGAGCCUCACAUGGGGCUCUGCACUCAGCAAGGAGUCUGCUUGGGAUUCUCUCCCUCUCCUUCUCCCCCUCACUCUGUUCUGCCUGUGCUGUCUCCCUCUCUCUCUCAAUUAAAUAAACCUUAAAAAAAAAUUGGCUUUGAUGUAACAGGAGGAUGUGAUCCUAAAAGGAUCAUGAGUAUAUGCACAAGGACAGUAGCAGAUAAAUGAAGUUCAGCAUGGCUAGAGAUUAUGGUGUAGCAUAAGAGGUAUAUCAGAUGAUAACUUUUGCGGUUAGACUAUGCUUAGGUCACACACCCAAAAUUCAUCUGUGAAAAAAUUAUCCUAUUUUUUUGUAAUGUGAAUUAUCUCCAUUUUUUUGAAGAAUAGUUGUGAUAUAGAAUAGAUCUAGGUUUUAGAUGAUAAAAAAUAAAAGGCAUUAGAAAGAAUGAAUGGGACAGGGGUUAUAAUCCACUUUAGAAAAAGCUCUGGUUUUAGAUCAACAAAUGUAUGUAUAAUAAGUAUCUGAGAGAAUAAAAAGUGAGUAGAUUGAAAGUGUCAAAUCUUAAAAUGUUUUUAUGUUAAAAUUGGCUGGAUAUGUUGAUUGACAAUAUUAGCUGAAAAGGGACAUAUAUUUCUUUAUCACUAAAUCUAGAUGAAUGGAAAUGUGGUAGUACCAUGAACUCUGAAAGGAAACAUACACAGAUUAUCACAAUGACCAAGUCGAAAUGUUGUGGUCUUCAACUUGUGAUAUGGGUAAAUUAAGAAGUGGUGAAAUUACCAGACAGUAAUGAUCAAGAGCUGUAAAUCAGAUACUGUCUAUGUUACUUUGGAGGUUUGGAUCCUACUGAGUAACCUAAAUUAUCUAAGUGUCUUGGUGCUGAGCAUGUAUAGAGAAAAAAUGUAAUAAAAAACUAAAUAUUUGCUAUUAAAGAAAAGGCGAGCAGAUCCCAGUUUAUUUGGAGUUCAGAUCAUUUCACAAGUCUUAAGAUUUCUCAUUACAGUCCUCCAAGCAGUGCUCUUCCCUGAAGAGUAAUAUUUAAAGUCUAUGAUUAUUAGGGUUCAGAUAUUCUUCAGUGCAAAGUCUCUAUGGUAUUUUUUUAAGGAGGAAAUUUUCACUUUCAAUGUGUAUUAACAGGCUCCGUUAAGGCUGAAACACAAGAAGUUUCAGAGAGAACCUUCUGACAUAUAUAUCAUGUGCUUACAAUAAAAGUAAUUAUAAGGUUUAGGUACUAUAUUCUCUUUGCCAAAAUGAAAUCUAUCUGGAAAGAGCUAAAUGGACACCUCAGCAUGUAAACCCCUUGUUUGAUCUGUGUAGCUUGCUUUGAUAAUGAUACAAAAUGAUUAUAGUAACAGAAAUCAUACUUUAGUUAAAGAUGUAUUUGCCAUUACAAAGGAGUAUUUGUAUUUGAGUCAACAAAUAUGUGGCUGAAUGAAAAUUGGGGCAUAUCAGGUCUCAAUCUGGAAGAAUCCAAGGGAGAAAAUUUAACUUGUUCAGGGUUAUUCUAGAAAGCAUAAUACCACAAUAUAUGUUAUUGAAUUAAUAAUUUGCUUUGGAUUAAAUAUUCCACAAUUUAAUACACUCUCUUUCUUUUCUUUUUUUAAAUAACUUCAGACUUAUAAAAUAAUUGUGAAAAAAUGACAGAUUUUAUAUAUACCCUUACAUUAGCUUCCUCUAAUGUUAAAAUUUUAAUCACAGAAUAAUUAUUAUUAAUAUUGGUACAAUAUUAUUAACUAUGCUGCAGAAAACAUUCAAAUUUCAACAUUUUUUCUUCCUAAUAUCCUUUUUUCAUAUCAGAGUCUAAUCUAAAAUUCCACACUACAUUUACUUGUUAUGUUUCCAUACUCUCCAGCCUGUGAGUCUGUGAAAGCUCCUCAGUUUUUUCUUGUUUCAUACCUUGAUAUUUUGGAUGAAUAUGUGCGUUAUUUUGUAGGAUGUCUUUCAAUUUGACUUUAUUUGAUGUUUUCUCAUUAGAUUGAGACUGUACAAUUUUGGUAAGAAUACUCCAGGAAUAAUGUUAUGUCCAUUUGUCUCACUGUGUCUUAUCAAAAGCACAUUGGGGUGAUACAUUUUAUUUACUGGCAAUGUUAACCUAGAUCAUUUGAUUAAGGAGGUAAGCUACUGGCUGUCUUCAGUGUCACUAUUCUUUUCCUUGUAAUUGAUAACUAUCUUGAGGGAGACACUCGAAGACUAUGCAAAUAUCCUGUUUUUCUUCAAACUUUGUCCACUAAUUUUAACAUUUAUUUUUGCUGCAAAAGUUACUGUAAUGUUAGUAAUUGACCAUCUGAAUAAAAAGGUACAUUUCCCCUAGUAAUGGCAUUUAAAUGAGAAAUGUAAACUCAAAUCAGUCAGCAGUUUGUUUUUUAUAGACUUACUGUAGCUGAUAUCUACAGAUUAAUAAUCUCAAUUAUACAUCCUGAAAGAGGUAUGGGAUAUGAAAUAAUGAAAUAAAAUUUAAUUCUAUCUCUGUAUUUUCCACAUGAUUGAAACUUCACUUCCAUUCUGAAUUCUUUGAGUGAAGCAGAAACAACCUGAUGUUUUGGUACCUGGUACGAUUUGCAAUGAACUAUUCAGGCUUCUUAAUUCAGGUGAAUAUGGCAGAUGGAGGUCAGCAUCACUACAUCCCUAAUGUAAAGGUAAUUUUAGAGGCAUUUUGACCCUAAGUAUUCCCAAAUUACCCAGGUCCAGAAGUUGCCAAUUGAAGUAUUUAAUUCUAAUCUCCUUUCUAUUUUAGUCUUACUAUUAUUAUUCAUCAGUUUUUACUUCUGUUACAUAUCCCAGUUUGGUUGUCUGAUUAAUUUUAUAGGUUUUAGACCUCUGAAUAUCUGAGAUACAAUAGCACUAACCCUUCUUCUCCUUCCUCUUCCUUCUUUUAACUUUAUAUUGUUCUUAUUGGCAUGGAAUCCCAAAGUAACAGGGAUUACUAAAAGUCCUAAAAGAAUUUCAGUUUUCUAAAGAAGAAGAAGGAGAAGGAGAAGGAGAAGAAGAAGAGGGAGGGGGAGGAGGAUAGGAAGAAGAAUUAUUCCAUUUUUUUAUAACAAACUUAACAUAUUUAUAUAACAUAUUUGAUUCUAAGGCAAAAGUUUUUUUUAUUUUUUACAUUUUGGUUCCAUUAUAAUUAACAUAAAUAUUACUUUCAAGUAUACAGUAUAGUGAUUCAACAAUUCCAUAUAUCAUCUAGUGUUCAUCAUGAAAAUUAUGCUCCUUAAUCCCCAUGACCAAAAAAAAUAAAAAA
This 3453-nucleotide long non-coding RNA is filed under the name Canis lupus familiaris (dog). RNAcentral's name for it is "lncRNA (ENSCAFG00000057664.1)". The record is from RNAcentral. Lineage: Eukaryota; Metazoa; Chordata; Mammalia; Carnivora; Canidae.